AUUCUAUCCUCCUGAUCUCUCCCACCCACCACAUCCUCUCAUCCAAGAAAUCAAGCAAUUCCAGGUGAAAAAAUAAAUAAAAAGGUCAGAAAAAGAACAUCAUAUCCAAAGCAUGUGAGCAACUUUAUUUUGAUAAAUGACUGCUCGCCUUCCUUGGGAGUUGCAAUGUUUUUCAGAGUUCAGUGAUGAACCAGGCACGGGGAGCAC
Long non-coding RNA from Fukomys damarensis (Damara mole-rat), 207 nucleotides. RefSeq lists it as uncharacterized. NCBI's taxonomy places the organism in Eukaryota, Metazoa, Chordata, Mammalia, Rodentia, Bathyergidae. The transcript is spliced from 3 exons. The record is from RefSeq and is a predicted model, not a curated record.